GAAUUCAACUCCUACGGGAGGCAGCAGUGGGGAAUAUUGGACAAUGGGCGCAAGCCUGAUCCAGCCAUGCCGCGUGAGUGACGAAGGUCUUCGGAUUGUAAAGCUCUUUUGCCAGGGAUGAUAAUGACGGUACCUGGAGAAUAAGCCCCGGCUAACUUCGUGCCAGCAGCCGCGGUAAUACGAAGGGGGCUAGCGUUGUUCGGAAUUACUGGGCGUAAAGCGCACGUAGGCGGAUUUGUAAGUCAGGGGUGAAAUCCCGGGGCUCAACCUCGGAACUGCCUUUGAUACUGCAAGUCUCGAGUCCGAUAGAGGUGAGUGGAAUUCCUAGUGUAGAGGUGAAAUUCGUAGAUAUUAGGAAGAACACCAGUGGCGAAGGCGGCUCACUGGAUCGGUACUGACGCUGAGGUGCGAAAGCGUGGGGAGCAAACAGGAUUAGAUACCCGUGUAGUCCAGGCGUU
This 458-nucleotide ribosomal RNA is filed under the name uncultured bacterium. Its description in RNAcentral is "bacterial SSU rRNA". It matches the Rfam family "Bacterial small subunit ribosomal RNA", at positions 328 to 803 of the family's 1533-position model. The record is from RNAcentral.